RNAcentral lists this RNase P RNA (383 nucleotides) under Azonexus sp. Its description in RNAcentral is "RNase P RNA component class A". It matches the Rfam family "Bacterial RNase P class A". Rfam says of the family: Ribonuclease P (RNase P) is a ubiquitous endoribonuclease, found in archaea, bacteria and eukarya as well as chloroplasts and mitochondria. Its best characterised activity is the generation of mature 5'-ends of tRNAs by cleaving the 5'-leader elements of precursor-tRNAs. Lineage: Bacteria; Pseudomonadati; Pseudomonadota; Betaproteobacteria; Rhodocyclales; Azonexaceae. The record is from RNAcentral. RNAcentral also lists the same sequence under 1 other name.
AAAGUCGGCCAGGCAAUCGCUGGAUACGCGAGUAUCGGGAGGAAAGUCCGGGCUCCGCAGGGCAGGAUGCCAGCUAACGGCUGGGUGCAGUAAGUCGCAAGACCCAAGGCAACGGAAAGUGCAACAGAGAACAGACCGCCUAAGUUCAGGUUCGCCUGAAACGGCAAGGGUGAAACGGCGAGGUAAGAGCUCACCGCGUCCACGGUAACGGCGGACGGCACGGUAAACCCCAUCCGGAGCAAGACCAAAUAGGGAAGCAUGGGCGUGGCCCGCGCUGCUUCCGGGUAGGUUGCUUGAGCCUGUCGGUGACGGCAGGCCUAGAGGAAUGAUUGCCGAACCCCGCGAGGGGGGAACAGAACCCGGCUUAUCGGCCAGCUUUCCAC